This 86-nucleotide transfer RNA is filed under the name Marasmius sp. AFHP31. Its description in RNAcentral is "tRNA-Phe". Lineage: Eukaryota; Fungi; Basidiomycota; Agaricomycetes; Agaricales; Marasmiaceae. The record is from RNAcentral.
GGGGGUAUAGCUCAGCUGGGAGAGCAGCAGACUGAAGCAACUACUUACGAUUCUGAAGGUCCCGCGUUCGAUCCGCGGUACCCCCA